GACUAACUACGAUAAGCUUUGGUGAGCGGUAAGUACGCUAUGACCCAAAGAUUUCCGAAUGGGGAAACCCAACUCGUAAGAGUUGUCUGUAUCUGAAUACAUAGGAUAUUUGACGGAAUACGCUGUGAACUGAAACAUCUCAUUAGCAGCAGGAGCAGAAAGAAAAAUCGAUUCCCUAAGUAGCGGCGAGCGAACGGGGAAGAGCCCAAACCAACGUGCUUGCAUGUUGGGGUUGUAGGACUGAUAUAUAAGAGUUACAAAAGUGUUUUAUAGCAGAACAAGUUGGGAAACUUGGCUAUAGAGGGUGAUAGCCCCGUAAGCGAAAUGAAGCACACUCUUUUCAGGAUCCUGAGUACGGCCGGACACGUGAAAUCCGGUCGGAAUCUGCGGGGACCAUCCCGUAAGGCUAAAUACUCCCUAGUGACCGAUAGUGAACCAGUACCGUGAGGGAAAGGUGAAAAGCACCCCGGAAGGGGAGUGAAAUAGUUCCUGAAACCACGACGCCUACAAGAAGUCAGAGCCCGUUAAUGGGUGAUGGCGUGCCUUUUGUAGAAUGAACCGGCGAGUUACGGUAUCGUGCGAGGUUAAGGUGGAAAGACCGGAGCCGCAGCGAAAGCGAGUGUGAAUAGCGCGAAUAGUACGAUGCUGUAGACCCGAAACCAAGUGACCUACCCAUGGUCAGGAUGAAGGUGAGGUAAAACUUACUGGAGGUCCGAACCGGUGCAUGUUAAAAAAUGCUCGGAUGAACUGUGGGUAGCGGUGAAAUUCCAAACGAACUUGGAGAUAGCUGGUUCUCUCCGAAAUAGCUUUAGGGCUAGCCUCAUUAUAAGCAUACUGGAGGUAGAGCACUGUUAAGCCUAGGGGCCCAUCUCGGGUUACCAAAGUUUGAUAAACUCCGAAUGCCAGAUAUGUAUGAAUGGGAGUCAGCCCAGAUCGCCAGUUAAGGUCCCUAAAUAUAUGUUAAGUGGAAAACGAUGUGAUAGUGCAUAGACAACUAGGAUGUUGGCUUAGAAGCAGCCACCAUUUAAAGAGUGCGUAAUAGCUCACUAGUCGAGUGCCAUUGCGCGGAAAAUGUACCGGGGCUAAACAUAUUACCGAAACUGCGGGUGCACGUAAGUGCGCGAUAGGAGAGCGUUGUAAGGGCGACGAAGGUAGAUCGUAAGGACUGCUGGAGCGCUUACAAGUGAGAAUGCCGGUAUGAGUAGCGAAAGACAGGUGAGAAUCCUGUCCACCGAAUGACUAAGGUUUCCUGGGGAAGGCUCGUCCACCCAGGGUUAGUCGGGACCUAAGGCGAGGCUGAGAAGCGUAGUCGAUGGAUAACAGGUUGAGAUUCCUGUACCAGUUGUAAUGCGUUAUUACCGAUGGAGGGACGCAGGAGGCUACCAGAUGCGCACUGAUGGAUAUGUGCGUGCAAGCAGUAAGUCUUGAAAAGAGUGAAAUGCUUUUUUCUAUAAGGACAAGCUGUGAUGCGGAUCGAAAUAAAGUAGAGAAGUCUGAGACGUCACACUGCCGAGAAAAGCUUCUAGGAAGUAUUACACUGCCCGUACCGCAAACCGACACAGGUAGUCGAGUGGAGAACACUAAGGUGAGCGAGAGAACCCUCGUUAAGGAACUCGGCAAAAUGACCCCGUAACUUCGGGAGAAGGGGUGCUCAUGGUAAAACAUGAGCCGCAGUGAAUAGGCCCAGGCGACUGUUUAUCAAAAACACAGGUUUCUGCAAAAUCGUAAGAUGAAGUAUAGGGGCUGACGCCUGCCCGGUGCUGGAAGGUUAAAAGGAGUGCUUAGUUUCGGCGAAGGUACGAAUUGAAGCCCCAGUAAACGGCGGCCGUAACUAUAACGGUCCUAAGGUAGCGAAAUUCCUUGUCGGGUAAGUUCCGACCCGCACGAAAGGCGUAACGAUCUGGGCACUGUCUCAACGAGGGACUCGGUGAAAUUUAAAUACCCGUGAAGAUGCGGGUUACCCGCGACAGGACGGAAAGACCCCAUGGAGCUUUACUGUAGCUUGAUAUUGAAUGUUUGUGCUGCUUGUACAGAAUAGGUAGGAGACGUAGAAGAUUGGACGCUAGUCUAGUCGGAGUCGCACGGUGGGAUACUACCCUCGUUGUAUGAACAUUCUAACACUGGUCACUCAACGUGAUCGUGGACAGUGUCUGGCGGGCAGUUUGACUGGGGCGGUCGCCUCCUAAAAGGUAACGGAGGCG
RNAcentral lists this ribosomal RNA (2201 nucleotides) under Leuconostoc mesenteroides subsp. mesenteroides. RNAcentral's name for it is "bacterial LSU rRNA". It matches the Rfam family "Bacterial large subunit ribosomal RNA", at positions 60 to 2308 of the family's 2925-position model. Lineage: Bacteria; Bacillati; Bacillota; Bacilli; Lactobacillales; Lactobacillaceae. The record is from RNAcentral.